UGGGGAAUAUUGCACAAUGGGCGCAAGCCUGAUGCAGCCAUGCCGCGUGUAUGAAGAAGGCCUUCGGGUUGUAAAGUACUUUCAGCGGGGAGGAAGGGAGUAAAGUUAAUACCUUUGCUCAUUGACGUUACCCGCAGAAGAAGCACCGGCUAACUCCGUGCCAGCAGCCGCUGUAAUACGGAGGGUGCAAGCGUUAAUCGGAAUUACUGGGCGUAAAGCGCACGCAGGCGGUUGAUUGAGUCAGAUGUGAAAGCCCCGGGCUUAACCCGGGAAAUGAGUCUUGUACUGGUCAGAUAUAGUAGUGUAGAGGGGGGUAGAAUUCCAUGUGUAGGGGUGGAAUGCGUAGAGAAGGGGAGGAAAACUGGUGGAGAAGGCGGCCCCCUGGACAAAAACUGACGCUCAGGUGCGAAAGCGUGGGGAGCAAACAGG
RNAcentral lists this ribosomal RNA (429 nucleotides) under Chloroflexota bacterium. Its description in RNAcentral is "Chloroflexi bacterium partial 16S ribosomal RNA". It matches the Rfam family "Bacterial small subunit ribosomal RNA", at positions 355 to 776 of the family's 1533-position model. The record is from RNAcentral. Lineage: Bacteria; Bacillati; Chloroflexota.